CAGCAGCCACGGGAAUACGUAGGGUGUGAGCGUUAAUCGGAAUUACUGGGCGUAAAGCGUGCGCAGGCGGUUUUGUAAGACAGGCGUGAAAUCCCCGGGCUCAACCUGGGAAUGGCGCUUGUGACUGCAAAGCUAGAGUGCGGCAGAGGGGGAUGGAAUUCCGCGUGUAGCAGUGAAAUGCGUAGAUAUGCGGAGGAACACCGAUGGCGAAGGCAAUCCCCUGGGCCUGCACUGACGCUCAUGCACGAAAGCGUGGGGAGCAAACAGGAUUAGAUACCCGCGUAGUCCCUGUCUCUUAUAC
This 301-nucleotide ribosomal RNA is filed under the name uncultured bacterium. RNAcentral describes it as "partial 16S ribosomal RNA". It matches the Rfam family "Bacterial small subunit ribosomal RNA", at positions 509 to 807 of the family's 1533-position model. The record is from RNAcentral.